UACAGAGGGUGCAAGCGUUGUUCGGAAUUAUUGGGCGUAAAGGGCGCGUAGGCGGUGCCACAAGUCACCUGUGAAAUCUCCGGGCUUAACUCGGAGCCUGCAGGCGAAACUGUGGUGCUGGAGUGUGGGAGAGGUGAGUGGAAUUCCUGGUGUAGCGGUGAAAUGCGCAGAUAUCAGGAAGAACACCCGUGGCUAAGGCGGCUCUCUAGUACGGUACUGACGCUGAGACGCGAAAGCGUGGGGAGCGAACAGG
This 253-nucleotide ribosomal RNA is filed under the name uncultured bacterium. Its description in RNAcentral is "partial 16S ribosomal RNA". It matches the Rfam family "Bacterial small subunit ribosomal RNA", at positions 524 to 776 of the family's 1533-position model. The record is from RNAcentral.